Molecule: transfer RNA, 71 nt
Filed under: Schistocephalus solidus
Lineage: Eukaryota; Metazoa; Platyhelminthes; Cestoda; Diphyllobothriidea; Diphyllobothriidae
Rfam family: tRNA
About the family: Transfer RNA (tRNA) molecules are approximately 80 nucleotides in length. Their secondary structure includes four short double-helical elements and three loops (D, anti-codon, and T loops). Further hydrogen bonds mediate the characteristic L-shaped molecular structure. tRNAs have two regions of fundamental functional importance: the anti-codon, which is responsible for specific mRNA codon recognition, and the 3' end, to which the tRNAs corresponding amino acid is attached (by aminoacyl-tRNA synthetases). tRNAs cope with the degeneracy of the genetic code in two manners: having more than one tRNA (with a specific anti-codon) for a particular amino acid; and 'wobble' base-pairing, i.e. permitting non-standard base-pairing at the 3rd anti-codon position.
Source: Rfam by way of RNAcentral
GCCCAGGGCUCAGUGGUUAGAGCGGUGGACUUCUGAUCAACGGGUUGCGGGUUCGAGCCCCGGGUGGGGCA